Molecule: ribosomal RNA, 305 nt
Filed under: uncultured bacterium
Lineage: Bacteria
Description: bacterial SSU rRNA
Rfam family: Bacterial small subunit ribosomal RNA
Source: RNAcentral
UCCUACGGGACGCAGCAGUGAGGAAUAUUGGUCAAUGGGAGAGAUCCUGAACUAGCCAAGCCGCGUGAGGGAAGACGGCCCUAUGGGUUGUAAACUUCUUUUAUAUGGGAAUAAAGUUUGGUAUGCAUACCAUUUUGUAUGUACCAUAUGAAUAAGGAUCGGCUAACUCCGUGCCAGCAGCCGCGGUAAUACGGAGGAUCCGAGCGUUAUCCGGAUUUAUUGGGUUUAAAGGGAGCGUAGGUGGAUUGUUAAGUCAGUUGUGAAAGUUUGCGGCUCAACCGUAAAAUUGCAGUUGAAACUGGCAG